AAAACGUAACAAAAUGUUGAAAAUGUGAGGGGGUCUGAAUUCUUUCCAAAUGCACUGUACUUCUAUGGAUCAACCAACUAUCCAACAAUGGAGCCUUAUUCCAGGCCAACUGUACUGUCUGGCAUUCCUGCCCAUCCUCUCCUCCAUCCCUUCGCUGGAGCCGUUUGCCUGUAAAUUCUACAGCAGUGACUUCCAUGGAGGAAAAGGGAGGGCUGUGGGUGUCUACUGAGACAAUACAAGGAAGAGGAACGUGCCAACUGCACAGAAAAACAGAUGAAAUGCACAGCUCAAUUCGCUAGAGUACAAACUGAGAGUCAACCAGUCAUUCUUAACAUCUCAUAUGCCCCUGUAGGUGUGAAGGUGAUGGUGGAUGAACUGCCAGUCAGUGAAGGUCAUAGUGUCAACCUGGAGUGUGUUGCUGACAGCAACCCCCAGCCAGGCAGGUAUAUCUGAAUCAGACGACAGGGAGGCCAAAGCAUCCAAAUGAAUUCAACUCAGGGCAAAAUGUCCUAUCCCAGUAACUCACUGGCCACUGACAUCUAGCAGCUGCCCCUUGACACAAAAUUCACAGCUGGACAGUUUCUGCCAUGGAUGCUGACUGCUCUGGCAGUUGUAAGUGUCUUUCUGUGGGGAGCUGUAAUGUUUGUACGCAGAAUACGUUGCAGAGAGAGGUUUGUAUGGUUCUUGAUGAUGAUGAUGUCACAUAUUAAACCAUAUUAGGGGUGUCAUUUUGAAUGACGUCUCCCUUCUACAUUAUCUGUAGACCAAAGGCCAGCUCUAAUCUCUCCACUUUGGAUAUCCCUCUAAGGUGCUCUCAUUUUUGCAUCUGUAUUUUACAUACAACAAAUAAUAAUGUUCAAGCUCAUUGAGAUGUUUUUGUCUUUAAGGCAACCUGUCCCUAAGGUACAGCAAUCCCCAAAAGUAACAUAGGAUAACCCUUUGAAGAACCCGUUUUGGUUCCUAGUAGUACUCUUUUAGUUCCAGGUAGAACCCUUUUGGGUUCCAUCCAGGUAGUACCCUUUCUACAGAAGGUUCUAUAUAGAACCCAAAAGGAUUCUACCUGGAACCCCAAAUUUGACAUCUGCUCCUGCCAUGCCCUCUACUGCUCAUCCGGUGUCUCCUUGACCUGCCUCCACUCCCCCAGUGCUCUUUCCUUUUCUGUGUGUGUGUGUGAUUGUGUGGGCAGAGACAGGUGUGCUGGAGUCAGAGCAGAUUCCCACCAGCUGCAACCUGUUCCAUAAUCAAGACCUCUACAAAUACUCAGCCCUGCCACUUCCACGCCGUCAGAUCGUAAUCUCUGCUCAGUCAGUCUAUGUUCCUUUUUAGAUCCUGUUGUCCUGCUGUGCCUGUCUUCCCUUGACUGAGGCUGUUUUCCUCUCUACUACAGUUCUGCCCACUCUGACUCUGGUCCCUGUCUCCAGUCCUACUUCUCGUCAGUCCUGCUACUCUGUCCUGGAUCCCCCACUCUACGGCUCCCUUGGAUUCCCCUCUGGAUCUGCUUACCCUGUCCCAACAUGUCUCGCUCCAGCCUCGGCCUCCGCACCUGGUUUACUGCAACCUGCCUUAGCUCCCCCUGGCCUGCCCUCAAUCUUCCCCCUGUGUUUUAAUAAAUACCUUGGUCACCUCAUCCCAGUCACCUGUUCACCUGGGUUCACCUGUUCUGCUUCGCGUGACACAAAAGGGUUCUAACUGGAACCAAAAAGGGUUCUCCUAUGGGGACAGCUGAAUAACCCUUUGGAACCCUUUUUCUAAGAGUGUAUGUAGCACCUUAAUUAACCCCCUAGUCAAAGGGACACCUUAUGGUGACAGUUAUGCAAAACUUCAAUGAUUUAGGCCCAGUGAUGGCUGUUACACUUGGUUUAUUACACCGUUGCUUAUCUCAUUAUAUACAAACCACCCAUUCAUUGACUGCUUACUUGUUCUGAUAAAAUGAGCUAGAGAGAACAUUUUUUUCAAAUUAAAUUAGGAGCAUGUAAUUUGAAAGAGGUGGACAGUCCUCCCCAACCAAGCUGAGGAGAGAAGUGACUUUAAUCUGCACAAAUAACUUUCCGUGAAGCCUGUGUAGCGGAUAGCCUUGGACUUUCCACCAUAUCCUCUGUUUGAUGAACUGUUGAUAGCGUGAGUAAUACUUCAAUGACUGUUCAUUAUUGUUAUUUAAGCGUUGGUCCUGACAGCGCACUGCAAAUUUAUGUUAUUAGAUAGCCUAAUACUGGGAGCUGAUGCAAUCAUCUCAAAAAACAAUCUAAACAAUCUACAUUAUACCAUGAUGCUUUUGUUUUCGACAUGGCGGAGCUUGGGUUUGAACUAUAAAAAAUGGAAUAGGAGAUGAUUUCAUGGAUGGUUUCAUUUUCAUUUCAAACUUUCCUCAGCAAGCUGCAUCCAUUACAUCAUCAUUUGAGAUAAUGGUUGAUCUUAAUUUAGAGUUGACUAUUUUUCAGCUAAAACCGUGUGCUAUAUGAUCAAAUAUAGAUGAUAGUUGUUGUCAUUCUCUGCUCGUCCUCAGUUGAAAGCCAUGGUGGUGAGGAGUGGAGUGAUUCUGUCUGUCUACAUCAUCACCUUCCUGAUUGGCCUGCCUGGCAACAUCCUGGCACUUUACGCCUUCAGCGUCAAGAUCCACAAAAAGCCCACUCCCACAGACAUCCUCCUGCUCAACCUGACUGUGUCCGACCUUAUCUUCCUGCUCUUCCUGCCCAUCAAGAUGCACGAGGCAGCCUCCGGCAUGGUCUGGACUCUCCCCAGGCUUCUCUGCAACGUUACCUCUUUCGUCUUCUUCUCCACCAUCUACACCAGCUCCCUCCUGCUGAUGGUGGUCAGUGUUGACCGCUACCUGUGUGUGGCCUUCCCUGUCCAGUACAGGCUCCGCCGCAAGCCAUUGUACGGAGUGGUGAGCAGCCUGGGGGUGUGGGUCUUCAGCUCGGUCCACCUCUGCUUCAUCUACAUCGUGGAGAACCAGACCUCAUCUGAUUUAUAUUCCUGCUAUGACAACUUCACACAGGAGCAGCUGAAGGUGGUGCUUCCCAUGCGCUUGGAGCUGUGUGUGGUUCUAUACAUCGUGCCACUGCUGGUCUGUGUGUUCUGCUACCUGAACUUCAUCCUCAUCCUCAAUAGGACCCCUAACCUUUGUGCAGAGAAAAGGAAGAGAGCCGUCGGAAUGGCUGUGGGGACCUUGCUUGUUUUUGUUGUCUGCUUCCUGCCCUAUAAUGUCACCCAUGUACAGGGGUUCAUCAUCCAAGACAACGUGGAGUGGCGGCUCUAUGCUCUGCUCCUGACCACGGUCAACACCGUCCUGGAUCCUGUGACGUUCUACUUCUCCUCCUCCAUGUUCCAGGCCACCAUGAAGAGGAUCCUAACUGGGAAGCGAAGGAACAGCACCCCUGGUGUCUUCAUGACAGCUCAAAACAACACUAGAGACAUAGAGGGACACAGUAACCCAGCCACAACUGAGGGAGGUUUGUCUGACAAGUGACAGAGCUUUUGAUGACAAUUGAAGACUUCCUAAUAUGGAUGCCAUAUUACGGGGCAGACAGUCACCAGUUCACAGCCAACGAUGUAGACAAGAGAGAGACCUGCCAGCAGCAUACCUGCCAGCAGAAUACCAACCUACAUCCCACUGCUCACUUAAUUAUGAAGCUAAGCAGGGUUGGUCCAAGUUGGUCCCUGGACACAUACAACCACAUGGACACAUACAGUAACAAUUAGUGUUUGUUGCUACAGUACUCGUCAAGUGUUAGCAAAAUGCUAAUACACAUAUGAUGUUACAUCAACCUUGGGCACAUGGAAAAAUACAUGUUAGGAUUCUGUUAUCAUUUACAUGACUGGUCUCUUGGGAAGUCAAUGUCUGUUUCCACACUAUUUACAAAAUCGAUAUUAAAAUUAGACAUAGGUAUUUCCCUCCCUCCUACACAUAUGUAAUAUCAGAUGUAAGCACAGCAAUGUUUUGCAUUUUAGUUAAUCGUUACCAUGCACUCUCACCUCCUCAUGUUUGCACUGUUCAAUAAGUCUGCUGUGCACUCAAACAGGUCUGCUUGACUGCUAGAUAUGCUAGAACAUGUAAAUAGAACAUUCUGCUGUUUUGUCCAAAGUAACGACCUUCUUGGGAAGCUUGAAUACACAUGGCUGAGCUCUCCAAUUCCUGAUUCAAAAUAAAUACACAUCCACAGCCAGGUAGGUUAUGACCAUUUGGAAUUAAGAAUGUGUUAUACUUCUCCCUUUAAGGUUUUCACUGUUGAGCUGCAAGUGUACUGUGUGGAGAAUGUAGCUAUAAGCUAAUUGUGAUUCAUUCAUUGGUGAUAAGAAGUUGGCUGAGAUAUUGUAACAAAAAUACAUUGAUCAUUAAAAACAGCUACAUUUGUAUGAUUUUAAAAUAUGAUUAUUGGGCACCCUGAAUGUGUUAUUUUUGGUUUUGUUGACCUUAUAGCUUCAGAGCCAUGGUGUGGGUGAAAAGUGAGGUGAUUCUAUCCGUCUACAUCAUCCUGAUGGGCCUGCCUGCCAACAUCCUGGCACUCUACGCCUUCAGCGUCAAGAUCCACAACAAACCCACUCCCACAGACAUCCUCCUGCUCAACCUGAUUGUGUCCAACCUCCUCUUUCUUCUCUUCCUGCCUCUCAAGAUGUACGAGGCAGCCUCCGGCAUGCUGUGGAACCUGCCCGAGUUCCUCUGCUCCAUCACUUCCUACACCUUCUUCUCCACUAUCUACACCAGUUCUCUCCUGUUGAUGGCUGUCAGUGUGGUCCGUUACCUGGCGGUGGCCUAUCCCAUCGCCUACCACAAACUUCACAAACCUUUCUAUUCUGUGGUGGCCAGCACAAUCAUCUGGCUUCUCUCCACCGCCCACUGCAGCAUCGUGUUCAUCAUCCAGCACCAUCCGGACCUCUCCCCAAGCAACACCUCCGUCUGCUACGAGGACUUCACCGAACAACAGCUGGCCAUCCUCCUCCCGGCUCCAGCCCCUCGUGGAGGUACUACACCCUGCUGCUCAGCGCCUUCAACACCUGCCUGGACCCUAUCAUCUUCUACUUCUUCUCCUCUGCUUUCCGCAUCACUACCAAGAUGGCCAUCUGCAAGAUGCUGGGACUGCGACAGGGUCAGGCUGCAGUCCAAAGGGAAAGCACAAUAGCCAAUAUGGGCCAAGAGUAGAAAAUGUAAUCACCUUACUCCAAGGUGCCUUUUGGGUAGUUUUGUCAAAAAUAACUAUUCAUUUCACCAAUUGUUUUAAUUCUAUCAUAAAGAGCAAAUGUUCAACUUCAUUCAAAAAAACACGUUUUCCCAUCUCAAGAGGUUCAAUUAAGAAGAAUAACUAUACAAAUUCAAAUUCAAGUGACAGGAUUGACUGUAAUAGGGUUAACAAUGUUAUCUUAAAUCCGCCAUAACUCCCUUUGUGACAGGGUGAAUGGAAGCAUGUUGUGUACAGCAGCGGGAGGCAAUUGCAAUGCAAGUCCAACAAAAACAUUUCUAGUAACUUGUUGAAAACAUUUCUAGCCUAUCUAUCUAUGGGUAACACAGGGUUGAUGGGUUAUUAUCGACGUGUUUUCCAGCACAAAGCAAAUGGCCUAAAAAAGUAGAACCAGCUCACCUGCUUUUACACUAUGAUAUGGCUAUAUUACCAGAUGGUAAGUUUUUCUUUGGAUUCAAUCAUUUAAAAACUAAUAGUUUUACCAUAUUAAAACGUGAGUUCAGGUCAUGUUACAGGGUUAACAUAAACCUGAGGGACAAAUGUAAAUGAAUCAUUAAAUAAGUAGGAAUCCUCAGACAUUACUUUCCUAAAGUAACAAAAUAACUUGGACUUGUAGAUAUGUUUCGUAGAAGGUGAACAAAGACGACAAUGGACAUGCCAAAUGGGGAUUUUCAGAGAGAAACAAAUACCUUACUUUAAUGAAAACACACUGCUAUUAGAAUGUGUAAAUAAAUACAAAUGAAAAAAGGCUUGGCUUAGUUAAAGCAUAGAUGCAUGUGAUUCCAUUGAAAUGACAAAAGGCACUCUAUUCGUGGAGAGACCUAGCUAUGUGCGGUAUAUUUCAAGAUAAUAUGUAGUUUGUGUUUUACACAUUUCUGUGAACUGUACCUUUCUUGCCAAAGUCAUUCAUAUUUUAAUGUUCAAAUGUUUUACAUUCCAUUUACAAAAGUGCGCACUUCAUACAUGAUUCAUUUGUUUCAUCACAGUAGCUUCUGUUACCCUUUUGAAUUGCACACUAUAUGAAAGCUUGGUUGUUACCCUUUAGAAUUAUGAAUUUGUUUGGUUAGAGUAUGUGCUGUGUUACCCAUUUUAAUUGACACAUAUUGCUAAAUAUUUUCUACCUCCAUUUGUAUUGGCAUGAAUCAGUUACACAUUUGUGUUGCAAAGACCUUUCUGUAUUCAAGAGUUUCAAGGCUGAAUGUAACAAAGAGUAUAAAUGUUUUACUGCUAAAGAGAGUUAUAGCUUUAUUAAAAUGACACAUAAACUGCUCAGGCAGAAUCAAA
RNA transcript from Oncorhynchus kisutch (coho salmon), 6458 nucleotides. It is a transcript of the gene named free fatty acid receptor 2, with no coding region annotated. The record is from RefSeq and is a predicted model, not a curated record. The transcript has 4 exons. Lineage: Eukaryota; Metazoa; Chordata; Actinopteri; Salmoniformes; Salmonidae.